AUCUUCCACAAUGGGCGAAAGCCUGAUGGAGCAACGCCGCGUGAGUGAAGAAGGAUUUCGGUUCGUAAAACUCUGUUGUAAGGGAAGAACAAGUACAGUAGUAACUGGCUGUACCUUGGCGGUACCUUAUUAGAAAGCCACGGCUAACUCUGUGCCAGCAGCCGCGGUAAUACGUAGGUGGCAAGCGUUGUCCGGAAUUAUUGGGCGGAAAGCGUGCGCAGGUGGUUUCUUAAGUCUGAUGUGAAAGCCCACGGCUCAACCGUGGAGGGUCAUUGGAAACUGGGAGGCUUGAGUGCAGAAGAGGAUAGUGGAAUUCCAAGUGUAGCGGUGAAAUGCGUAGAGAUUUGGAGGAACACCAGUGGCGAAGGCGACAAUCUGGUCUGUAACUGACACUGAGGCGCGAAAGCGUGGGGAGCAAACA
RNAcentral lists this ribosomal RNA (421 nucleotides) under uncultured bacterium. RNAcentral's name for it is "partial 16S ribosomal RNA". It matches the Rfam family "Bacterial small subunit ribosomal RNA", at positions 361 to 774 of the family's 1533-position model. The record is from RNAcentral.